Long non-coding RNA from Macadamia integrifolia, 2298 nucleotides. RefSeq lists it as uncharacterized. The record is from RefSeq and is a predicted model, not a curated record. The transcript is spliced from 4 exons. Lineage: Eukaryota; Viridiplantae; Streptophyta; Magnoliopsida; Proteales; Proteaceae.
AUGAGUUGUGAGCGGGUGAGCCCGGGUUUUUGAAUUCACUCAAAGAUUUGAAGUUCUUCGUAUUUUGUCAGGUUUCUUCAAGAUUUUUCCAAAGAUCUUCAAGUUUUCAUUGAAGUUCCUCAUCCUCCCCUUGAAGACCUUCAAAGUUCUUGAGCAGGGAGCCAUUUGGAGAAUUUAAAAUCUUUUUGGGCUUUUUUAUAAUUUGUGAAACUUCUUAGGGUUCCUCGUAAUUUUGGAAAAUAUGGCUGAGAGAAGAAAGAGAAGGACUCGCAGAGGAAUCCGGCUAGAUGGUACGGAAAGUUACAGUACUUCAUCUCAGGGGGACGAGGGUCCCGCAGACUGGUACACUGGGCGGAUGCUCUAUAGGACUCGGGAUCACAUAUGCAACUCCAUAUGGGGUACAUAGAGGUUCAAUGAGGGAGUACCACCUGCAUUGGCCAGAUAUGGUCAUCCGAAUUCUGUCCGGGACUGGUACAAAAUGCUUCCUUACAGGGUCAAGGGGAUGGUCGAUUCAUCUUACCUAAGCAGAUUGGCCUUGCUGGAGACUAGGUAAUUUAGUUUGAUAUUAGGGGGGGCUUGAUUGAGUGGUGGUGGUCGAGUACUCACUCCUUCCAUCUCCCUAUAAGUGAGAUGACCAUUACACCCUUAUGCUUCUAUGCCUUGAUAGGCAUACCAUUUGGGGAGAGGCCCCUAACUCUUCCUGAGACUCUAAUAGCAAGGGAGUUCACAAACCUGAUGAGCAUCGACAUCUAGGAUGAUCAAAAACAUGUCCGCCUUGGCGAGAUCAGUGCUCACUGGUGGGGGAUGGGCCCGGGGGUGAACCCUGGUAACAUUCCACAAGUGACCCGUUCUUUCCUUCGAUUUACUAUGGGUCAGUGUCUUCUUACUGUCCUCUGAGGUGGGGUGUUUAUCCGUAUGGCUACUAUUUUUUGGGAACUUCAGGAUCUAGGCACUUAGGAUUGGGGUGGGGCCUCAUAUGCUUACCUGUUGUGGACCGUUGACUUUUUAUUAUAUAGAGAUCGGGGCCUCAAGGGAGUGGGCUACAUUCUUCAGGUAACUUCUUAUCCCUACACACAUUUCCUUUCAUUUGAUUGCACCACCUUAUUUUGAAUUUUUAAUUCAUCUCUGGUGUUAUGAACACUUGGAGAUUACUGCUCCCACACUGAAGGCUUCUCAAGCAUUGUUCUUCCCCGUAGCCACAAGAUGGGGAAACAGUCAGAUACUCAAGGGUCAUCACCAUCCCCCAUUGGCUACUACUCGUUCUUUUAUGAAUGGGCUUUCAAAGGUAGGUCAUGUUUGGCAUUGAAUUUCCCUCUGUUCUUGUGCCGUACUUACUUCUUCUUGAAUUUGUAGGCUACUUGGAGGCCAUUUUGGCAUUUGAGGUUUCCUCACCUUGAUGAAACCGCAUGAGCCAAGCAUUUGAUAGAGAAUCAGGUUCUGUUCAGGGGUAUCUGGGGCCAUACCUAGUAUUUAGGAGAGUAGUUCAUCCUCCAAUGGUUUGAUUCUAACAUACAUUUCCCUCCUUGUUUUCCUCCACCUACCAUGCAUCACCCAGAGCGCAUUCCUACAAAUCAGAUUGAGGGAUUGGCUAAAGGGAUAUGGGAUGAUUCCUUCAUUGACUAGAGUGAGGAUUAUGGGACUUUCCUUGAGGAAGAGGCCGUCUGUACUCCUUUUGGUCCCAGAGGCCCAGUGUAGAGAACAAUGCAUGCAGACUCUUCUUCUGGCCGACUGCAAUCGUAUGCUACUGGUUCUUCCCAUGCCGGACCUUCCACUGCUACAGAUGGUUCUCAUAAAAUCGCCCCUAUCCCCUAUCAUGGUUUCCUGGGUUGGUCUUACCCUGAUGUAGCCCAUCUGGAUAUCCCUUAGCUCCUGAAAUGCAGACUGGACAAAGAUGCCUCUAUUGGGUUGCCCAUUCCAUAUGACUGUGUGAGUAUCCAAUCCCCUCUCAUUUGAUAGAUCUUUAACUUCUUUUGGUUGGCACAGUCUUCAUCAGGUGUCUUCGAAGGUCUAUGCUGAGCUCAGAAGAAUGCACCAGAUUUUAUGUGAGGUGGUGCUUGAUAAGGAAGGAGAGAAUACUAUCUUGAAGAGACAAGUCAGCUCUUGCCAGCAAGAGAUUGCUUGGCAGCACAAGCAGAUUCAAGAUCUUACUCAGAGGAUGGAGAGCUUAGGAUUGGCACCUAGUAGUUCCUCUAUGUUUCCUGUGUAUGCCCCCGAGUAUGGCUCAGAUGAGGACUUUGAUUCUUAGGGAUCUUCUCUUGCAGUUCCUGUAAAUACAAGCAUAUGUAUAUCUUUUUUAUU